This 349-nucleotide unclassified non-coding RNA is filed under the name soil metagenome. RNAcentral describes it as "partial contains 5.8S ribosomal RNA, internal transcribed spacer 2, and large subunit ribosomal RNA". The stretch from base 1 to 120 matches the Rfam family "5.8S ribosomal RNA", at positions 35 to 154 of the family's 154-position model. The record is from RNAcentral.
GAUGAAGAACGUAGCGAAAUGCGAUAAGUAAUGUGAAUUGCAGAAUUCAGUGAAUCAUCGAGUCUUUGAACGCACAUUGCGCCCCCUGGCAUUCCGGGGGGCAUGCCUGUCCGAGCGUCAUUGCUGCCCUUCAAGCCCGGCUUGUGUGUUGGGUCGUCGUCCCCCCCGGGGGACGGGCCCGAAAGGCAGCGGCGGCACCGCGUCCGGUCCUCGAGCGUAUGGGCUUUGUCACCCGCUCGAUUAGGGCCGGCCGGGCGCCAGCCGGCGUCUCCAACCUUCUAUUUUACCAGGUUGACCUCGGAUCAGGUAGGGAUACCCGCUGAACUUAAGCAUAUCAAUAAGCGGAGGA